Molecule: ribosomal RNA, 218 nt
Filed under: uncultured bacterium
Lineage: Bacteria
Description: partial 16S ribosomal RNA
Rfam family: Bacterial small subunit ribosomal RNA
Source: RNAcentral
UACGUAGGGUGCGAGCGUUGUCCGGAAUUAUUGGGCGUAAAGAGCUCGUAGGCGGUGUGUCGCGUCGGCCGUGAAAACCUGGGGCUUAACUCUGGGCGUGCGGUCGAUACGGGCAUCACUAGAGUUCGGCAGGGGAGGACUGGAAUUCCUGGGUGUAGGCGGUGAAAUGCGCAGGAUAAUCAGGAGGGAACACCCGGGUGGGCGGAAAGGGCGGGUCC